Molecule: non-coding RNA, 31 nt
Filed under: Rattus norvegicus (Norway rat)
Lineage: Eukaryota; Metazoa; Chordata; Mammalia; Rodentia; Muridae
Source: RNAcentral
UGGCAACCAUUAACUUCCUAUAAAUUAUCAA